This 2992-nucleotide ribosomal RNA is filed under the name Candidatus Oleimmundimicrobium sp. RNAcentral describes it as "23S ribosomal RNA". It matches the Rfam family "Bacterial large subunit ribosomal RNA". Lineage: Bacteria; Bacillati; Actinomycetota; Candidatus Aquicultoria; Candidatus Subteraquimicrobiales; Candidatus Oleimmundimicrobiaceae. The record is from RNAcentral.
AGUCAAGUUAUUAAGGGCACAUGACGGAUGCCUUGGCAUCAGGAGUCGAUGAAGGACGUGAUAAGCUGCGAUAAGCCUCGGGUAACUGCAAAUGAGUAUCGAUCCGGGGAUUUCCGAAUUGGGGAACCCACCUCGUUUAAUAGCGAGGGAUCCGUAUCUGAAUACAUAGGGUACGGAAGACAACCAGGGGAACUGAAACAUCUAAGUACCCUGAGGAAAAGAAAGAAAUUUCGAUUCCCAUAGUAGCGGCGAGCGAACUGGGAAGAGCCUAAACUCGUUGGGCGUGAUAACCUGUAGGUGUUUCCUGACGAGGGUUGUAGGAGUCAUCUGGCUUUGCUACAGAAGAGCCGGAGAGUUACAAAAUUGGUUUUUAGUUGAAAAACUUGGAACAGUUUGCCACAGAGGGUGAAAGUCCCGUAAGCGAAAAAAACCAAUCUCUCGAUGAUUUCCUGAGUACGGCGGGACACGAGAAAUCUUGUCGGAAUCUACGAAGACCACUUCGUAAGGCUAAAUACUCCCUGAUGACCGAUAGUGAACUAGUACCGUGAGGGAAAGGUGAAAAGAACCCCGGGAGGGGAGUGAAAUAGUACCUGAAAUCAUGUGCUUACAAGCAGUUCGAGCCCGCCAUUGGCGGGUGAGAGCGUGCCUUUUGUAGAAUGAGCCGGCGAGUUACUGGUAUCUAGCAAGGUUAAGCUGUAUGGCGGAGCCGUAGCGAAAGCAAGUCUGAAUAGGGCGUUUAGUUAGAUGCCGUAGACCCGAAACCGAGUGAUCUAUCCAUGGCCAGGGUGAAGCUCCGGUAAAACGGAGUGGAGGCCCGAACCCACCAGCGUUGAAAAGCUGGGGGAUGAGUUGUGGAUCGGAGUGAAAGGCUAAUCAAACUCGGUAAUAUCUGGUUCUCCUCGAAAUAGCUUUAGGGCUAGCCUCAAGUGUUUAAUUUUGGGGGUAGAGCACUGAUUGGACUAGGGGCCCUCACCGGUUACCAAACCCAGUCAAACUCCGAAUACCAAAAUUUUAGAGCUUGGGAGUCAGACUAUGGGGGCUAAGCUUCAUAGUCGAAAGGGAAACAGCCCAGACCGCCAGCUAAGGUCCCUAAGUAUGAACUAAGUGGGAAAGGAUGUUGAAGCGCAAAAACAGCCAGGAUGUUGGCUUAGAAGCAGCAAUCAUUUAAAGAGUGCGUAAUAGCUCACUGGUUAAGCGAAUCAGCGCCGACAAUUAUCGGGGCUCAAGUUCAUCACCGAAGCUGCGGACUUACUUUUAGUGAGUGGUAGAGGAGCAUUCCCUAUUGGACGAAGUCGAUUCGUAAGGAUCGGUGGACGAUAGGGAAGAGAGAAUGCCGGCAUAAGUAGCGAGAGACGGGUGCGAAACCCGUCCGCCGUAAACCCAAGGUUUCCUGGGGAAGGUUAAUCCGCCCAGGGUUAGUCGGGACCUAAGCCGAGGCCGAAAGGCGUAGGCGAUGGAUAGCUGGUAGAUAUUCCAGCACCACCGAGUUGCGACAAAGACACGAUGGGGUGACACAGUAGGGUAGGCCAUGCGCGGCGUUGGUUGUCCGCGUUCAAGCACGUAGGGGGCCGGGAUAGGCAAAUCCGUUCUGGCAUUAAACCCUGAGGUGUGAUGACGAGCCGAUUGAGGCGAAGUGGCUAAUCCCACACUGUCAAGAAAAACCUCUAGUGAGCAACUAGGUGCCCGUACCCCAAACCGACACAGGUGGGUGGGGUGAGAAUCCCAAGGCGAUCGAGUAAUUCCUCGUUAAGGAACUCGGCAAAAUUACCCCGUAACUUCGGGAGAAGGGGUCCCUCAUUAGCGUGAUUACCUUACGGUAUAAGCGUGAAGAGGGUGCAAUAAAAAGGCCCAAGCGACUGUUUACUAAAAACACAGGUCUCUGCUAAGUCGUAAGACGAUGUAUAGGGGCUGACGCCUGCCCGGUGCCGGAAGGUUACGAGGAGAUGUUAGCGAGCCGUUAAAGCAAGCGAAGCAUUGAAUCUAAGCCCCGGUAAACGGCGGCCGUAACUAUAACGGUCCUAAGGUAGCGAAAUUCCUUGUCGGGUAAGUUCCGACCUGCACGAAUGGCGUAACGACUUGGGCGCUGUCUCAACGAGGAGCUCGGCGAAAUUGUAUUACUCGUAAAGAUGCGAGUUACCCGCAACAGGACGGAAAGACCCCGUGAACCUUUACUGUAGCUUGACAUUGGAUUUUGAUACAUUCUGUGCAGGAUAGGUGGGAGGCUGUGAAACCUCGACGUUAGUCGAGGUGGAGCCAACCUUGAGAUACCACCCUGGAUAUAUCGAAAUUCUAACUUCGUUCAGUUAUCCUGGUGAAGAACAGUGUCAGGUGGGCAGUUUGACUGGGGCGGUCGCCUCCUAAAGCGUAACGGAGGCGCCCAAAGGUUUCCUCAGCACGGAUGGCAAUCGUGCGUAGAGUGUAAGGGCAGAAGGAAGCUUAACUGCGAGACCUACAAGUCGAGCAGAGACGAAAGUCGGCGCUAGUGAUCCGGCGGCUCAGAGUGGAAUGGCCGUCGCUCAACGGAUAAAAGGUACUCCGGGGAUAACAGGCUUAUCCUGCCCAAGAGUCCAUAUCGACGGCAGGGUUUGGCACCUCGAUGUCGGCUCAUCGCAUCCUGGGGCUGGAGAAGGUCCCAAGGGUUUGGCUGUUCGCCAAUUAAAGCGGUACGCGAGCUGGGUUUAGAACGUCGUGAGACAGUUCGGUCCCUAUCCGUUGCGGGCGCAGGAAACUUGAAGGGAGUUGUUUCUAGUACGAGAGGACCGAAAUGAACGAACCUCUAGUGUACCAGUUGUCGUGCCAACGGCAUCGCUGGGUAGCUAUGUUCGGAAGGGAUAACCGCUGAAAGCAUCUAAGUGGGAAGCCCACCCUAAGAUUAAGUUUCCCAUCCAAAAUGGAGUAAGAUCCCAGGUAGACUACCUGGUUGAUAGGUCAUAAGUGUAAGCCCGGUAACGGGUGUAGCUGAGUGAUACUAAUAGAUCGAGGACUUGAUUUU